Molecule: ribosomal RNA, 253 nt
Filed under: uncultured bacterium
Lineage: Bacteria
Description: partial 16S ribosomal RNA
Rfam family: Bacterial small subunit ribosomal RNA
Source: RNAcentral
UACGGAGGGUGCGAGCGUUGUCCGGAAUCACUGGGCGUAAAGGGCGCGUAGGCGGCUUUUUAAGGGUGCGGUGAAAGCCCGGGGCUUAACCCCGGGUCGGCCGUGCCGACUGAAAAGCUGGAGCACUGUAGAGGCAGGUGGAAUUCCGGGUGUAGCGGUGAAAUUCGUAGAUAUUCGCAAGAACACCAGUGGCGAAGGCGGCUCACUGGCCCGGUACUGACGCUGAGGUGCGAAAGCGUGGGGAGCAAACAGG